This 253-nucleotide ribosomal RNA is filed under the name uncultured bacterium. Its description in RNAcentral is "partial 16S ribosomal RNA". It matches the Rfam family "Bacterial small subunit ribosomal RNA", at positions 524 to 776 of the family's 1533-position model. The record is from RNAcentral.
UACGGAGGGGGCAAGCGUUAUUCGGAAUUAUUGGGCGUAAAGGGCGCGUAGGCGGCUAGAUGUGUCAAAGGUGAAAUCCCUCGGCUCAACUGAGGAACUGCCUUUGAAACUGUCUGGCUUGAGGCCGGGAGAGGGUAGCGGAAUUCCCAGUGUAGCGGUGAAAUGCGUAGAUAUUGGGAGGAACACCCGUGGCGCAAGCGGCCACCUGGCUGCCAACUGACGCUGAGGCACGAGAGCGUGGGGAGCGAACCGG